Cylas formicarius (sweet potato weevil) is the source of this 1621-nucleotide RNA transcript. RefSeq lists it as uncharacterized. The transcript is spliced from 9 exons. The record is from RefSeq and is a predicted model, not a curated record. NCBI's taxonomy places the organism in Eukaryota, Metazoa, Arthropoda, Insecta, Coleoptera, Brentidae.
UUAUGUCUUGCUAUAAUCUCCCACUCCUCCAUAAAAGUUUAGUUCAGUGUUUUAUCUCGUUUUGUGUUUUUGUUAUCAAUAAUAAAAAAAUCUUAAUUAUUAUACCAUUGCUUCUCUAAAAUUAAACUUUUUGAGCUAUUAGUCGUCGAUAAAUUGAAAAGACAGUAAUUAGACAUUUUAAUAGCAUUAUUUGGAAUUGUUUGCCAAUAACUUUAGAUCCAAAAAAUUCAUGAAUAAUUUGGUUCAUUAAUAAAGUAGGAGAAAAUUUUUAAAAAUGUUGGCCUGUAACUGUUUAAAUAUAUCUAUCCAACUAGGUAGCGAUAUUGAAAAGGUCACAAAAGAAUCGCUUGCUCUUUCAGAAGAGGAAAAAGGUGACAUUUUUUUUAAGCAAAAUGUUUUUUAUAAAAGCAGAUUAAUAAGUGUGGAUAAAAAAUAUUCAGGAUUAGUUAACACAAGAAAAAUUGGAUUCUGGAUUAUAAACCAUUGUCUCAAUUGUGAUAUUCACACUCACGCUGUUCACCUAGAAAAAGGUGCAGGCCUUGUUUUGAUGUAUCCCAAACUUUUGGAUGCUGAAGCUGUCAAGAAUAUCAGACUUGGAGAUUCAUUCUCAACAGUUUUUCAAAUAGUUGUUAAUCCCAUAGAGCUAGGACCAGAUAACCCACCAUUUGAAGCAUAUCGCAAUAGAGAUCUCGAUAACAUUGUAAAAAGCCUUAAUGAGUUGGUAACAAAUUAUGUAAAAAAUGAAGAAAGCGCAGUGGAAGAGAGAAUAAGGAAGUUUGCUAGUGAACAGUAUCAAGCUCUAAACAUUGCUAAGGAGAGAGUUGAGAAGGAACGGGAAGCUUUAGUAAACAUCUUAGUCACUGCGGUUCGAGGCACAAAUGGCAAUGAAAAUGAGCAACCAAUCAUGUCUCCCAAAAGUAUUAUGAGAUCUUCCAGUAAAACUUCCACCAGUAAUAAAUUUUCUGGACCAGCAAGCCCCGCGGUGGCUCCUUUGUCGCCUAAGAGACAAAAGAACAAUCCAGCUAUUAAACCCAAAGGACCAGAAGAUGAUUUGAUUUUUGAAUUUGAAGCUGAUGAAUUUACAAAUUAUUCAAAAUCUGGAAUGUCGUUUGAUGGAGCAAAUAGUGAUGAAUCUGAGGAUGAAGAUGGUAACAUAAACACUGUAGAAGGGAGUGACCUACAAGGUAUUAGCAUUCGCCAACAGAAACAGCCAGGGCAGACAAUUGCAAAGUCAUGUCCUGUGGACAUACCAAAUUUUGGUCUAAACACUAGAAUCAAAACGCAAUAUGAGGCGUCAGAAGAUUCAGAUUUUUCCCCUGGUGAACAGCAAAUUGACAUAGCAGCUAGCAUCAAGGCUCUAGCAAACAGUGUUCAUGGUGACAGUAUUUUUGGAGAGCUACCCAGACCCAGAUUCAGUACGCAGAUCUGAUAAUUUUGAGGCCAUGAGGUGAUCACAGCAGCUACAGUGUCUUUUUGUUAUGUGUACAAAUAAUACAAGAUUAUGUUUAUGUGUUAGGCUAAAACGGCUCAGUCAGAGACAUUAAGUUUAUUCGGUAAGGGAUGCCAUAAUUUCAGAUAUAAUCUGUUAUUUCCAACAGCUAAUAUAGACAAAUAUUCUCAC